Molecule: ribosomal RNA, 2928 nt
Filed under: Proteus mirabilis
Lineage: Bacteria; Pseudomonadati; Pseudomonadota; Gammaproteobacteria; Enterobacterales; Morganellaceae
Description: bacterial LSU rRNA
Rfam family: Bacterial large subunit ribosomal RNA
Source: RNAcentral
GGGUUGUGAGGUUAAGCGAAUAAGCGUACACGGUGGAUGCCUAGGCAAUCAGAGGCGAUGAAGGACGUGCUAAUCUGCGAAAAGCGUCGGUAAGGUGAUAUGAACCGUUAUACCCGACGAUAUCCGAAUGGGGAAACCCAGUAUCCAAUGGAUACUAUCAUUAACUGAAUCCAUAGGUUAAUGAGGCGAACCGGGAGAACUGAAACAUCUCAGUACCCCGAGGAAAAGAAAUCAACCGAGAUUCCCCUAGUAGCGGCGAGCGAACGGGGAGCAGCCCAGAGUCUUAAUCAAUAGCAGUGUCAGGAGAACGGUCUGGAAAGUCCGGCAGUAAAGGGUGAUAGCCCCGUAUCUGAAGAUGCUGUUAUUGUGAACUCGAUGAGUAGGGCGGGACACGUGUUAUCCUGUCUGAAUAUGGGGGGGCCAUCCUCCAAGGCUAAAUACUCCUGAUUGACCGAUAGUGAACCAGUACCGUGAGGGAAAGGCGAAAAGAACCCCGGCGAGGGGAGUGAAAAAGAACCUGAAACCGUGUACGUACAAGCAGUAGGAGCCUCUUUAUGGGGUGACUGCGUACCUUUUGUAUAAUGGGUCAGCGACUUAUAUUCUGUAGCAAGGUUAACCGUAUAGGGGAGCCGUAGGGAAACCGAGUCUUAACUGGGCGAAUGAGUUGCAGGGUAUAGACCCGAAACCCGGUGAUCUAUCCAUGGGCAGGUUGAAGGUUGGGUAACACUAACUGGAGGACCGAACCGACUAAUGUUGAAAAAUUAGCGGAUGACUUGUGGAUGGGGGUGAAAGGCCAAUCAAACCGGGAGAUAGCUGGUUCUCCCCGAAAGCUAUUUAGGUAGCGCCUCGUGAACUCAUCUUCGGGGGUAGAGCACUGUUUCGACUAGGGGGUCAUCCCGACUUACCAACUCGAUGCAAACUGCGAAUACCGAAGAAUGUUAUCACGGGAGACACACGGCGGGUGCUAACGUCCGUCGUGAAGAGGGAAACAACCCAGACCGCCAGCUAAGGUCCCAAAGUCAUGGUUAAGUGGGAAACGAAGUGGGAAGGCUCAGACAGCCAGGAUGUUGGCUUAGAAGCAGCCAUCAUUUAAAGAAAGCGUAAUAGCUCACUGGUCGAGUCGGCCCGCGCGGAAGAUGUAACGGGGCUAAACCAUGCACCGAAGCUGCGGCAGCGACACAUAGUGUUGUUGGGUAGGGGAGCGUUCUGUAAGCCUGCGAAGGUGUACUGUGAGGUAUGCUGGAGGUAUCAGAAGUGCGAAUGCUGACAUAAGUAACGAUAAUGCGGGUGAAAAACCCGCACGCCGGAAGACCAAGGGUUCCUGUCCAACGUUAAUCGGGGCAGGGUGAGUCGACCCCUAAGGCGAGGCUGAAAAGCGUAGUCGAUGGGAAACGGGUUAAUAUUCCCGUACUGGUGGUAACUGCGAUGGGGGAACGGAGAAGGCUAGGUUGUCCGGGCGACGGUCGUCCCGGUUCAAGCAGGUAGGCAGAGUGAUUAGGCAAAUCCGGUCACUUAAUGCUGAGAUGUGAUGACGAACCACCAAGGUGGUGAAGCAAUUGAUGCCCCGCUUCCAGGAAAAGCCUCUAAGCUUCAGGUUACCAACAAUCGUACCCCAAACCGACACAGGUGGUCAGGUAGAGAAUACUCAGGCGCUUGAGAGAACUCGGGUGAAGGAACUAGGCAAAAUGGUGCCGUAACUUCGGGAGAAGGCACGCUGGCGGUAGGUAAAGUCCCUCGCGGACAGAGCUGAAGCCAGUCGAAGAUACCAGCUGGCUGCAACUGUUUAUUAAAAACACAGCACUGUGCAAACACGAAAGUGGACGUAUACGGUGUGACGCCUGCCCGGUGCUGGAAGGUUAAUUGAUGGGUCAGCCGUAAGGCGAAGCUCCUGAUCGAAGCCCCAGUAAACGGCGGCCGUAACUAUAACGGUCCUAAGGUAGCGAAAUUCCUUGUCGGGUAAGUUCCGACCUGCACGAAUGGCGUAAUGAUGGCCAGGCUGUCUCCACCCGAGACUCAGUGAAAUUGAACUCGCUGUGAAGAUGCAGUGUACCCGCGGCAAGACGGAAAGACCCCGUGAACCUUUACUAUAGCUUGACACUGAACAUUGAGCCUUGAUGUGUAGGAUAGGUGGGAGGCUUUGAAGUGUGGACGCCAGUCUGCAUGGAGCCAACCUUGAAAUACCACCCUUUAACGUUUGAUGUUCUAACCUAGGCCCAUAAACUGGGUCGGGGACCGUGUCUGGUGGGUAGUUUGACUGGGCGGUCUCCUCCUAAAGAGUAACGGAGGAGCACGAAGGUUGGCUAAGCAUGGUCGGACAUCAUGCGGUUAGUGCAAAGGCAUAAGCCAGCUUGACUGCGAGAGUGACGGCUCGAGCAGGUACGAAAGUAGGUCUUAGUGAUCCGGUGGUUCUGAAUGGAAGGGCCAUCGCUCAACGGAUAAAAGGUACUCCGGGGAUAACAGGCUGAUACCGCCCAAGAGUUCAUAUCGACGGCGGUGUUUGGCACCUCGAUGUCGGCUCAUCACAUCCUGGGGCUGAAGUAGGUCCCAAGGGUAUGGCUGUUCGCCAUUUAAAGUGGUACGCGAGCUGGGUUUAGAACGUCGUGAGACAGUUCGGUCCCUAUCUGCCGUGGGCGUUGGAAGAUUGAGAGGGGUUGCUCCUAGUACGAGAGGACCGGAGUGAACGCACCACUGGUGUUCGGGUUGUCAUGCCAAUGGCAUUGCCCGGUAGCUAAGUGCGGAAGAGAUAACCGCUGAAAGCAUCUAAGCGGGAAACUUGCCUCGAGAUGAGUCUUCCCUGUCGCUUUAAGUGACCUAAAGGAACGUUUAAGACUAAGACGUUGAUAGGCUGGGUGUGUAAGCGUAGCGAUACGUUGAGCUAACCAGUACUAAUGAACCGUGAGGCUUAACCUGACAACACCGAAGGUGUUU